Nanorana parkeri is the source of this 217-nucleotide long non-coding RNA. RefSeq lists it as uncharacterized. The record is from RefSeq and is a predicted model, not a curated record. The transcript has 3 exons. Lineage: Eukaryota; Metazoa; Chordata; Amphibia; Anura; Dicroglossidae.
UGUAUUUUUCUUUUGUUUUUGGUCACGAACACGCACGCAUAGCUUACAAUCUGUCUUUAAUUGGAGAAAUCACAUUAUUAUUCAUAAUCAGCCUCUUCCACAUGUUCCGUGACAAGGCACAAGGUUAAUUGUUCAAAAGGAAUCUACGAAAACAUUCAUUAGGAAACAGCCGCUUCUCGGGGAGAAAGUAAGGUUUUUUUUUUUGUUGUUAAGAAGG